GGGGCCAUAGCUCAGAUGGUAGAGCACCUGCAUGGCAUGCAGGGGGUCAGCGGUUCGAGUCCGCUUGGCUCCA
RNAcentral lists this transfer RNA (73 nucleotides) under Prochlorococcus marinus str. MU1414. RNAcentral's name for it is "tRNA-Ala". It matches the Rfam family "tRNA". From Rfam's summary of the family: Transfer RNA (tRNA) molecules are approximately 80 nucleotides in length. Their secondary structure includes four short double-helical elements and three loops (D, anti-codon, and T loops). Lineage: Bacteria; Bacillati; Cyanobacteriota; Cyanophyceae; Synechococcales; Prochlorococcaceae. RNAcentral also lists the same sequence under 3 other names. The record is from RNAcentral.